RNAcentral lists this long non-coding RNA (1487 nucleotides) under Salvia miltiorrhiza (redroot sage). RNAcentral's name for it is "long non-coding RNA (SMIL_LNC007654)". The record is from RNAcentral. Lineage: Eukaryota; Viridiplantae; Streptophyta; Magnoliopsida; Lamiales; Lamiaceae.
CGAAAGUUGAAGAGGAUGCAUGUGGAUAUCAAUUUGUUGCAGACAGACAAAGCAUCUCCACUUCUACUCAUGUUUUUAUAUUUAUGUUAUAUGUGAUUUUGUGUUAUGUCUUUCUUUACCUUAUUUUGAUUGAGACUGUAAAUUGCAAACUAAUUUCCCCAUUCUGGUUUAGCAUAAAGUGUNCAGUAACAACCAGACUCUCUCUGAAUUGUAUAUAAGGGAGUGCCCCAAUUUGAGAGAAUUACGGGACAGAGAUAGCGGUGGAGAACAAUCCCAACGAAGCUUCACAUCCCUUCGCCAUCUCCAUAUUGUUAACUGCAAAGCAUUGGACUAUUUGCCAUGUGAAAUGAUAGGAUUCUCUCUUGAGGAGAUGUCGUUGGAGGGUCUAUUUAGCCUAAAGAAUCUACCAAAGGUAUUUGACAGCCUCUCAGAAUCGCCUCGUCUGAAAAAUUUAUCAAUAGUUGGCGUUCCUAAAUUUAUGGCCAAUUGUUAUGUUGAGACUCCACAUUUUCCCUAUUUGAGAGACGUAAAAAUGGGUGUCAGUAUGAGCUCGAUGGAGGCUGUAGAUGGCAUAUUACAAGAAUGCUGCCACUCACUAAAUAAGUUAACUCUGGUGGGGAUGGAAAGUUGGGAAUGCGUGCCGGAAUCAAUUCAACAUCUCACUGCUCUUUCUAAGCUAAAGUUAGAUAAUUUUGGAAUGGAAGAGUUAGCUGAAUGGUUUGGGAACCUCUCAUCUCUAAAGGAGUUGAAGUUAGAAAACUGCAAAAGGCUAAAGCGUCUACCCUCUAUGGAUGCAAUGCAGCGCCUCACAACGUUAAAAAAACUAUCUAUUAGGCGUUGCCCAGAAUUAGUGAUUAAAAGGGAGGCAGCUGAUUCUGAAUGGCCCAAGGUUUCCCACAUCCCCCACAUCACCAUUGGCGAUCACAGUGAGUAUCUAUCAAUAUAUUUUCUUGUUUAUUUUUAUAUAUAUAGAAACUAUUACAUGUGUAUUUUAUUUGAAAAAAAAAUGAUUAUCAGAAAUUGAAGUAUCGUAUCUUACUUUAUGGAGUUUAAUUCCAAUUCAGUUGCUAUUCAUUUGGUGCUCCACUUCAUCUCGAUAUGCUUAAACAAUAUGAGAUUAAUUAUUUUGAGUUUGUUUACUACAGAAUUACGGUGAAUCGUCAUUUGUCAUUGAGGUGAUUGUAACAAAUUAGGAGGUGAAGCAAUGGAUCAAAUUGAAGCAAUGAACAAAUUGAGUGAGUGUCCAUUUUGAUUUGAACUUUUGUUGAUAGGAUUAUAAUGCCGAAAGUUGAAGAGGAUGCAUGUGGAUAUCAAUUUGUUGCAGACAGACAAAGCAUCUCCACUUCUACUCAUGUUUUUAUAUUUAUGUUAUAUGUGAUUUUGUGUUAUGUCUUUCUUUACCUUAUUUUGAUUGAGACUGUAAAUUGCAAACUAAUUUCCCCAUUCUGGUUUAGCAUAAAGUGUUGAAGAUUUGAAAUAACUUUUCA